Molecule: ribosomal RNA, 500 nt
Filed under: uncultured bacterium
Lineage: Bacteria
Description: partial 16S ribosomal RNA
Rfam family: Bacterial small subunit ribosomal RNA
Source: RNAcentral
GACGAAUGCUGGCGGCGUGCCUAAUACAUGCAAGUCGAGCGAGACUCUUCGGAGUCUAGCGGCGGACGGGUGAGUAACACGUGGGCAACCUGCCUGUAAGACUGGGAUAACACCGGGAAACCGGUGCUAAUACCUGAUAAUCCUUUUUCUCUCAUGAGGAAAAGCUGAAAGUCGGUUUCGGCUGACACUUACAGAUGGGCCCGCGGCGCAUUAGCUAGUUGGUGAGGUAACGGCUCACCAAGGCGACGAUGCGUAGCCGACCUGAGAGGGUGAUCGGCCACACUGGGACUGAGACACGGCCCAGACUCCUACGGGAGGCAGCAGUAGGGAAUCUUCCACAAUGGACGAAAGUCUGAUGGAGCAACGCCGCGUGAGCGAUGAAGGCCUUCGGGUCGUAAAGCUCUGUUGUUAGGGAAGAACAAGUACCGGAGUAACUGCCGGUACCUUGACGGUACCUAACCAGAAAGCCACGGCUAACUACGUGCCAGCCGCCGCCGUAA